AACGUAGGAGACAUACGUUAUCCGGAUUUACUGGGCGUAAAGGGCGCGUAGGCGGCCACCGCAAGUCGGUUGUGAAAUCUCUGGGCUUAACCCAGAAAGGUCAACCGAUACUGCGGGGCUAGAGUGCAGAAGGGGCAACUGGAAUUCUCGGUGUAGCGGUGAAAUGCGUAGAUAUCGAGAGGAACACCUGCGGCGAAGGCGGGUUGCUGGGCUGACACUGACGCUGAAGCGCGAAAGCUAGGGGAGCGAACGGG
This 254-nucleotide ribosomal RNA is filed under the name uncultured prokaryote. Its description in RNAcentral is "partial 16S ribosomal RNA". It matches the Rfam family "Bacterial small subunit ribosomal RNA", at positions 524 to 776 of the family's 1533-position model. The record is from RNAcentral.